CAAGCGGAACAACAGUCCAAAUGCUUAAACCUGGGAUGAGCAGAAAGGUUGCAGUGAGUGCAGGAAGCCCGUGCCCUUGGACUACCUGGAGAGUCCCAGCCCAGAGGGAAAACAUCCAGCAGAGGAAGCUUCAGGCUUUGUGAGAUGAGGAGAUGGUGCCCACAACCAGGACUGCGACCCAGAUGUAAACACAGCUGAUGUGUGUGUGGCACCAAGGAACCGGGUUGUGGUUGCAUUUUCUGCUCUGGUCCUUCCUCUGACUAAACCAAGGCCUGAUCCAACAGCCAGGUGGACCAGAGCACACCUACAUGCAGUGGAGCAAGAAAAAGAAUAGAGAGCUACAGUGCUCAAGAGGAUGGAUGCAUUUCUCCAUGAAGAGAGACUAAAAAAGCCUGGGACUCCUCAAUCCGGAGAGGAGAAGAGAGAGGGGGAUGCACUCCAGGUUUCCAGCAUCAUGAAGGCUUGGCCAAGAGAAAAACAUGAAGCAGAGUGUCGCUGAAGCUGUAAACAGGGCAGGAGCAGAUGUUCCUUCCCUUCUGCAGAGAAUGCGAGGCAAAGGAGAGAGAAAAAAAAAGGGGAGAGAGCCAGAGCUGCCCAGGAGGGAGGAAUGAAGUGUGGUGUGAUCCAGUUUGGAAGGAGCUGAGAGGAUCUUGCCUGCUUAAAUUAAAGUACAGCUUGAUAAAUCUUGACUGUGCCUGUUUUCUGCGUGGGGCCCCUGGAAAUCCUGAGGAUAAGACGGACACCUAGGAGAAAAUAAUGGAAAGCAAGCCAGGAAAGAAUGUUUUUCCCCUGAAUUAAGACUUCCUAGGCACUGGGUGACUUGACCUUCACAACCCAACCAGUGCAUCCACCUUCAGAAGUUCAUGCUUGGCUCUGUAAAGCACUCCAAAUCCAAGAGUUGAUGAUCCUGGAAGCAACGACAUGAGGGGUGUUCACCCAACAGUUGUCCUGAAGGCUCUCUGCGUGGCACAAAACACACGUCUG
This is a long non-coding RNA of Calidris pugnax (ruff), 984 nucleotides long. RefSeq lists it as uncharacterized. The record is from RefSeq and is a predicted model, not a curated record. The transcript has 5 exons. Lineage: Eukaryota; Metazoa; Chordata; Aves; Charadriiformes; Scolopacidae.